Molecule: non-coding RNA, 72 nt
Organism: Nippostrongylus brasiliensis
Lineage: Eukaryota; Metazoa; Nematoda; Chromadorea; Rhabditida; Heligmosomidae
Source: Rfam
GCUUCCGUGGCGCAAUAGGCAGCGCUUUCGGCUGUUAACCGAAAGGUUGGUGUUCGAGCACACCCGGGAGCG